UUGCAAUAUACCUUCUGUUUCUUGCUCACAUGAUUGAUGUGAUUUUGAAUUCAUUUAGCACAUUGCUUUCUGAGAAGCCAUUUGUAGUGCAAGGAUGAAACUUGGUCAGAGUGUUUACCAUAUGGAUUGGCAGUGAAACCAAAAAAGAAGGCGCGCUUCUGUUCUUCCGUAUUCAUGUCAAUGCAACAACAGGUCGCUUAAAUUGAAAUUGAUGUCUACAAAGUGCUUCCCAUUUCAUUAUUAGAUUACUGAUAUAGCUAUGCCUGGUGAGUGGAGAUAAGUGGAGGUGGCACUACCAAUUCCUUGAUGUACCAGGAAUGUUUGGAUUGUUGUAUUCUGACAUUGUUUGGUUCAACAUAUUCAAGGUAUGUUCCAAGGCUAUCUUAGAAAAAAUUCCUGCAAAUAUUGCAUUUUGAUUCAUCUUGUUGCCCUUUUUGUUUUCGGUUUGGACCAUACUGUGA
Zea mays is the source of this 461-nucleotide long non-coding RNA. RefSeq lists it as uncharacterized. The record is from RefSeq and is a predicted model, not a curated record. Lineage: Eukaryota; Viridiplantae; Streptophyta; Magnoliopsida; Poales; Poaceae. The transcript is spliced from 3 exons.